UGGGGAAUUUUGGACAAUGGGCGAAAGCCUGAUCCAGCAAUGCCGCGUGUGUGAAGAAGGCCUUCGGGUUGUAAAGCACCUUUGUCCGGAAAGAAAUCCUUGGCUCUAAUACAGUCGGGGGAUGACGGUACCGGAAGAAUAAGCACCGGCUAACUACGUGCCAGCAGCCGCGGUAAUACGUAGGGUGCAAGCGUUAAUCGGAAUUACUGGGCGUAAAGCGUGCGCAGGCGGUUUGCUAAGACCGAUGUGAAAUCCCCGGGCUCAACCUGGGAACUGCAUUGGUGACUGGCAGGCUAGAGUAUGGCAGAGGGGGGUAGAAUUCCACGUGUAGCAGUGAAAUGCGUAGAGAUGUGGAGGAAUACCGAUGGCGAAGGCAGCCCCCUGGGCCAAUACUGACGCUCAUGCACGAAAGCGUGGGGAGCAAACAGGAUUAGAUACCCUGGUAGUCCACGCCCUAAACGAUGUCAACUAGUUGUUGGGGAUUCAUUUCCUAGUAACGUAGCUAACGCGUGAAGUUGACCGCCUGGGGAGUACGGUCGCAAGAUU
This 546-nucleotide ribosomal RNA is filed under the name uncultured bacterium. RNAcentral describes it as "partial 16S ribosomal RNA". It matches the Rfam family "Bacterial small subunit ribosomal RNA", at positions 355 to 895 of the family's 1533-position model. The record is from RNAcentral.